ACCGACGAGGGCGACUAUCAGGUCAAGCUGCGUAACCUGAUUCGUUUCCUCGAAGGUGGCGACAAGGGUAAGGUCACGCUGCGUUUUCGUGGUCGCGAGAUGGCGCAUCAGGACAUCGGCCGCAAGCUGAUGGAGCGCGUCGCCGCGGAUCUCGAUGAACUCGCGGCGGUGGAGUCCUUUCCGAAGAUGGAAGGGCGCCAGAUGGUGAUGAUUCUUGCCCCCAAGAAGAAGUGAUCCGACGGCAAGUUAACGGAGGGUCGCAACGACGCUGUCGUUGUGACUCUCGGCCACGGAUUUUCUCAAAAACCCGAGCGGAGUAUUUCCCUCAUGCCGA
RNAcentral lists this unclassified non-coding RNA (334 nucleotides) under Modicisalibacter muralis. RNAcentral's name for it is "Halomonas muralis Long range pseudoknot". Lineage: Bacteria; Pseudomonadati; Pseudomonadota; Gammaproteobacteria; Oceanospirillales; Halomonadaceae. The record is from RNAcentral.